Molecule: microRNA precursor, 91 nt
Filed under: Paramuricea clavata
Lineage: Eukaryota; Metazoa; Cnidaria; Anthozoa; Malacalcyonacea; Plexauridae
Source: RNAcentral
UACCUCAAAAUUCCACAACAGUCUGUUUCAUCUGUAAAGAAUCAUACCACCUGAUGAUUCUUUACAGGUGAAACAGACUGUUGCAGAAUUU